RNAcentral lists this small nuclear RNA (107 nucleotides) under Saimiri boliviensis boliviensis (Bolivian squirrel monkey). The record is from RNAcentral. Lineage: Eukaryota; Metazoa; Chordata; Mammalia; Primates; Cebidae.
GUGCUCACUUCUGCAGUACAUAUACUAAAAUUGGAAUGAUACAGAGAAGAUUAGCACGGCCCUUGAGCAAGGAUGACACACAAAUUCGUGCAGCAUUCCAUAUUAAA